Small nucleolar RNA from Cavia porcellus (domestic guinea pig), 102 nucleotides. It matches the Rfam family "Small nucleolar RNA U13". Lineage: Eukaryota; Metazoa; Chordata; Mammalia; Rodentia; Caviidae. The record is from Rfam.
AUACUUGUGUUCAUAAGCAUGAUGAUUCGGUGUCCAUCCCAUUGUGUGAUGUGGUUUCCCUCAAACCUUGUUAGCACUUCGGCACAUACAAUAAGUCUGGUG